Molecule: ribosomal RNA, 232 nt
Filed under: uncultured bacterium
Lineage: Bacteria
Description: partial 16S ribosomal RNA
Rfam family: Bacterial small subunit ribosomal RNA
Source: RNAcentral
CGGACGGGUGAGUAAUGUCUGGGAAACUGCCUGAUGGAGGGGGAUAACUGCUGGAAACGGUAGCUAAUACCGCAUAACGUCGCAAGACCAAAGAGGGGGACCUUCGGGCCUCUUGCCAUCGGAUGUGCCCAGAUGGGAUUAGCUAGUAGGUGGGGUAACGGCUCACCUAGGCGACGAUCCCUAGCUGGUCUGAGAGGAUGGCCAGCCACACUGGAACCGAGACACGGUCCAG